CAGUCGCCGCGGUAAUACGAAGGGUGCAAGCGUUAAUCGGAAUUACUGGGCGUAAAGCGUGCGUAGGCGGUUUGUUAAGUCUGUUGUGAAAUCCCCGGGCUUAACCUGGGAACUGCGCUUGUGACUGCACAGCUAGAGUAUGGCAGAGGGGGGUGGAAUUCCACGUGUAGCAGUGAAAUGCGUAGAGAUGUGGAGGAACACCGAUGGCGAAGGCAGCCCCCUGGGCCAAUACUGACGCUCAUGCACGAAAGCGUGGGGAGCAAACAGGAUUAGAUACCCGGGUAGUCCCUGUCUCUUAUAC
Molecule: ribosomal RNA, 301 nt
Filed under: uncultured bacterium
Lineage: Bacteria
Description: partial 16S ribosomal RNA
Rfam family: Bacterial small subunit ribosomal RNA
Source: RNAcentral